CGUAGCUUUACGUCUACGCAGUAAAUCUAAACCGCCCUAAAUAUUUACGGCUAUAUGUAUAAAAUUACAGUUCCAAAUUCCUUCUGUACCUCUCCACGAGGCUCCUGCUCAGUGCUACUAUAUUGACUACUUAAGGCUGCAUUAGUAGAUGAUGUCGUUUUCCAUGGUUUGGAACAUAUUCAGGACCCUAAAUUAUCCUAUGGCCUGGCACAAACGAUGUGGGCGGGGAUCUCCAGCUUGUUAUACUUUUGGACAAGACAUAGCUUCUCAGUUUAACCAUAUGAAUGGACUCGUUCUCAUCUCUAGAUCUCGUCAGAAUUGUCAUGGAGGGUUUCAGUUGGUGCCAGCCAAAAGGUAAUAUGAUCGUAGUUUGUAGGUACUUUCCAUAAUGUAUGUGUAUGUUAUCAUUCACAUACUUGGUUACUAAUCUAGCUGUAACUUCUUCGUCUCAGCGUGUCCAUGUUAUAUCGAAAAUUAUGGAUCAUGUUUUAACAUUGUUAGCUACAACGAUCGUCCCUAUUUUUUAAAUUUCAGUGCUGUUCUGUUUGCGCACCAUUGUGAUGGGAAAAUGUCCCAGAAAAUUUACAGCAAGCAAUGACUUGGUAUGUUAAUAUGUUCCUGUAAACUUUACUUCCCAAGUUAAAGCAUAUUUUUGGCCGAA
Molecule: RNA transcript, 661 nt
Organism: Erigeron canadensis
Lineage: Eukaryota; Viridiplantae; Streptophyta; Magnoliopsida; Asterales; Asteraceae
Exons: 4
Source: RefSeq, a predicted model, not a curated record